Molecule: ribosomal RNA, 349 nt
Filed under: uncultured Leptolinea sp.
Lineage: Bacteria; Bacillati; Chloroflexota; Anaerolineae; Anaerolineales; Anaerolineaceae
Description: bacterial SSU rRNA
Rfam family: Bacterial small subunit ribosomal RNA
Source: RNAcentral
CCUUCGGGAGCUUGCACAGGUGCUGCAUGGCUGUCGUCAGCUCGUGUCGUGAGAUGUUCGGUUAAGUCCGCUAACGAGCGCAACCCUCGCUGUGUGUUAUAUGUGUCACACGGGACUGCCGGUCUUAAGCCGGAGGAAGGUGGGGAUGAUGUCAAGUCAGCAUGGCCUUUAUAUCCUGGGCUACACACACGCUACAAUGGCCAACACAAUAGGUUGCUAAGCCGCGAGGUGGCGCCAAUCCAUAAAGUUGGUCUCAGUUCAGAUUGUAGGCUGCAACCCGCCUGCAUGAAGAUGGAGUUGCUAGUAACCGCAGGUCAGCUAUACUGCGGUGAAUACGUUCCCGGGGCUU